Hypomesus transpacificus is the source of this 1709-nucleotide long non-coding RNA. RefSeq lists it as uncharacterized. Lineage: Eukaryota; Metazoa; Chordata; Actinopteri; Osmeriformes; Osmeridae. The record is from RefSeq and is a predicted model, not a curated record. The transcript is spliced from 4 exons.
GUCGACCAAAGAAAAUCUUAGUCGGGGACAGCCCUAAGAUCUAUAAAUGUUUAUGUGUGCAUAACCCCUCCCCAUAUAGUGGGGAUAGCUUGAAGGCCUUCAAGAGUACGGAUGCUUAUCAAUAUGCUGUGGCUGGAUGGAUGAAAGAAAUCAGAGAUUCUGGCUAUCUUCAACAGGCUCGUAUCUUUGUGAACACACUGCCAGUGAGCGACCCGAGUCUGACUGAGGCUAAUGCCAAAAUAGUUGAAUGAGGGACCAUGGCUGCCGCCUAAGACUGCGGGCCACGCAUUUUCACUCAAAUUUCAAGACAAAGUUCUGAUGUGACAGAUACAUGGGGAAUCGCUUUCUCUCUUAAAGGCUGUCCUCCUCGACCUUUUUGGUAGCGAAAUCACCGAGAUGAACUUCACCGAAACACAGAGGGAUAAAGUUAGCAACUUUAAAAUCGGUUAAAUAGACGUAAUGAGUGGCACUGCACAUAACGUUAAGAGACAUGACAUUUUAUUUUGUUUGAGGUUUAACUUCUCCAGUUGGGCAAGUACUCUUCCACUUGCCCUACAAAAAAAAUCCACUUGUCCCGGACGAUGAGACGGUCGGUCUUGGAAUGCACAGCAAUGUCGCUAUAUAAAACUGCGUUGCUCUUUUGAAAGGACCUUAUAUGUUUGAGCCAUCUAAGGCAAAAUCACAUUGAGUUACAAGAUGCUUCUAUAUUACUCCUAACUAUUAUAGUUAGAAUAGUUAGCAUAACAUCACAUUAGCUAACACAGUCAGCCGAUCCUCCUCACAAUGCUUGCUCUAGCUUUAUCUCUGCUUAGGUAAUUUAGCCUGUGCCAUAUUGUUUUAAUAUAAUUAUUUAGCUGGCUAAUUGCAAAAGUAUGCAACUAAUUGGUUUGCCUCUUGCUCCUUUACAGUUGCAUGCAGUGUAAAUUCGUCACAUCCAGUCAAGAAGUUCUUCAAAGAUACCCCGGACUGCGGCAAGGAAUAGGAGCACACUGACCCAGAACCUAAUUUUCUUAAUCUGUAGCCUUGUGACUCCACAUUAAUUGGAGUGCUAAAGUUUAAAACACAAACACAGCUUUGAGAUGGAUCCCAAGCCAUGGUGGACAACAAAAAAAGGACCAAUAAAGAGACUACCUUUCCUCCUCUGCCACAACCACAACCAGUGACUGCAACAUCCCAUUGUUGGACAGAUUAUCCUACUACCGUCACACGGCCUAGCACUGUGUCCCUGGGAAAUGAUGGUUAUGCUCCGGAAGAUGGAGACUUCACUUGACAGUGAUGGACCUACGGGUGGCCCAAACACAGGCUGUCCUCCAAGACCUAGAGAAGCGCCUUACGGUGAUGGAGUUCUGAAAGAGAGUGACGCUGUGAGGAAGUGGAAGACGGGACAGGGAGAGACGGCUGUUGAGUUCCUCAUAGCAGAGACACUCAAACACACCCCGGCAGCCGAUUCAAAACAAGCCAGGUGUAUGAAUCAUGAUUGCAGCGUCAAUAUCCAAAGUUUCACGUGGCUAUGUGACAAAAAACUAGAAUCACAUAAUAUUUUUUUGAUCUAUAUUAUUUUAGAUGUGAUUUUUUAUGACUUGUAUAGCCCCUUUCACACAAGCAAUUAUGUUGAUAGGACCUGUAGCGGGGACUGACAGAAGAUUUUAAUUCACUGUUUGGCACUUUGUUUUAAAUAAAAUGACUGAAUGUUACAUGGAAAUGCUGCC